UUUCCAUAAACUCAACUAGAAGAUAUGGACUGUAGUUCUUAUUUUUCUACACAAAGACAAAUUACUUGCAUUGACUAUUAUUGUUCGAGAAAGAAUUACACAAAUUUUAACGCUUUACCUCUUGACCACACUGUAUAUAAAUACAAACUUUAUACUACUUUAUAAUAUAGAAUUUAAUUAAAAUUUUGCUUUUAGGAGCCGGUAGCUAGAUGGGAAUGAGGUGGACCACCGCGGUUUUCAACUUUACAAAAUGGCAGAGGAAGUACAAGAGGGACCUUAGAAAUUAAUAAAAAUGUAAAACAUAAAGAUUAAUCUCAGCUUUUUAUUUAGAAAAAAAAAGACUGAAUGUACUUAGAGAGUUUAAAAUUAGGGACAAGAUUUCGAUGCAGUAUGGGCAGUUAAUGUGACUGGUGUAGUCUAUUAUUAUUGGCAUUCAUGUAUGUGACUGGUGUAUCUAGAGUCGCACGUUUGAGUAUUUGACAUCUAUCCCG
Molecule: long non-coding RNA, 491 nt
Filed under: Brassica napus (rape)
Lineage: Eukaryota; Viridiplantae; Streptophyta; Magnoliopsida; Brassicales; Brassicaceae
Description: long non-coding RNA (BNAP_LNC017076)
Source: RNAcentral